Long non-coding RNA from Vicia villosa (hairy vetch), 418 nucleotides. RefSeq lists it as uncharacterized. The transcript has 3 exons. Lineage: Eukaryota; Viridiplantae; Streptophyta; Magnoliopsida; Fabales; Fabaceae. The record is from RefSeq and is a predicted model, not a curated record.
UGAAAACGAUUCUAUUUUUGAUAAGUUCGAGUGCUGUCUGAGUGGCGAUGGACUACGGGUAGCAACUGGUUCUUACAGGAAUUGUAUUAUGCAGAGAACAAGAAGAGAAUGGAACAAAAUACAAAAUACAUUUGUUUCUAUUAUGCAGAGAACAAUGAAGCUCAUCUUGCUUUGGGGACUACCCUGUUUCAUAGCGGAAUGUGCAUACAAGAUAUGAUCAGCUUUGAAGAUGUAUUGAAGGAGUUUACUUCUAAGAAAUGCGGUAAACUUGGGAAAUUGCUUAAGGAAAGUGGUAAUCAUGGGGUUUAGAUGAAACACAAAGAUUCUAGAGCACCGAAGCUAACCGUCAAGCAUGGCGUAAAAUUAUAUAUGAAGAAAGUGUUAUGACUUAGUUAAAAUAUAAUUUUUAUGUUUAUGA